AGUGAACGCUGGCGGUAGGCCUAACACAUGCAAGUCGAACGGCAGCACAGUAAGAGCUUGCUCUUACGGGUGGCGAGUGGCGGACGGGUGAGGAAUACAUCGGAAUCUACUUUUUCGUGGGGGAUAACGUAGGGAAACUUACGCUAAUACCGCAUACGACCUACGGGUGAAAGCAGGGGAUCUUCGGACCUUGCGCGAUUGAAUGAGCCGAUGUCGGAUUAGCUAGUUGGCGGGGUAAAGGCCCCCCAAGGCGACGAUCCGUAGCUGGUCUGAGAGGAUGAUCAGCCACACUGGAACUGAGACACGGUCCAGACUCCUACGGGAGGCAGCAGUGGGGAAUAUUGGACAAUGGGCGCAAGCCUGAUCCAGCCAUACCGCGUGGGUGAAGAAGGCCUUCGGGUUGUAAAGCCCUUUUGUUGGGAAAGAAAGGCAGCAGGUUAAUACCCCGCUGUUCUGACGGUACCCAAAGAAUAAGCACCGGCUAACUUCGU
RNAcentral lists this ribosomal RNA (491 nucleotides) under uncultured bacterium. RNAcentral describes it as "partial 16S ribosomal RNA". It matches the Rfam family "Bacterial small subunit ribosomal RNA", at positions 29 to 506 of the family's 1533-position model. The record is from RNAcentral.